AGAAGAAAAACUAAAUAUAGGAUCCAAAAAAUGCCCAUUUGCCCCCCCGUCAAUCUCUUCCUCUUUCUCUCUGGCGGCUUCCCUCCUCCUCCGCCUCCUCCUCCGCCUCCGACGCCGCCUCCGACGCGGCAUCACCCUCUCCCUCAUCAUCUCCCUCUGCGAUCGCGGAGUCAAUCCCGAAGCCCUAGCCGCCCUCGUCCGCGAUCUCUCUUGUUUGCAGGACAUGUGCUUGACAAGUAUCGAAAUCGUCUUCUUCCGGAGAAUGCUGAAGCUCAAAUUUGUACUGGUUCUUGGUUAGACGGGAUUCCUUCUCUGGCAGACAUUGAAGAAGGAAAUUUAUUAGUACAUGAUUUCAGUAAUCUAGAGGUUUCUGAAUCGGAAGGCGAAAGUGAUUAAGUUGCAUUUGGAGCUGAAGUUGCUGUUGUUGCUGAUGCAAUUCUUGUUGCUGCUGCAGCUGUUGAAGAUGAUGUUGCUCCUCUAACUGAAGUUUCAAAAAUUGCUCCAACUCUGGCAUAUACUGGUUAACUGACUGUUGAUGCUGCAGAGAACCUUGAAUUUGUUCAAUAAAUGGCACAGACGAAUUCUGACGAGAAAGCAAGCGCUGCUGCUGAAGCUGUUGUUGCUGUUGUUGCUGUUGUUGUUGCUGCUGCUGAAGUUGCUGAAGCUGCUGCUGCCGAAGCAGUUGUUGUUGCUGCUGCUGCUGCUGAAGCUGUGAUUUUGGUUGAUUUUGGUUGAUUCUGUAAUAUGUUUAUACUGUUUCCUUGCGUUGUGAUUAUUGUCAGUCGCAGCAUUGUCAAUUUGGGGGCUAAGAUUUACUUUCUCGUAAAAUCCCUCUCUUUUGAUCUUU
Long non-coding RNA from Asparagus officinalis (garden asparagus), 847 nucleotides. RefSeq lists it as uncharacterized. NCBI's taxonomy places the organism in Eukaryota, Viridiplantae, Streptophyta, Magnoliopsida, Asparagales, Asparagaceae. The record is from RefSeq and is a predicted model, not a curated record. The transcript is spliced from 4 exons.